GGAGUGUUCGCAUAAUGGUAUUGCAGGUGGCUGUAACCCACCCGGUUCCGAGAGGGCCAUUCUAGGUUCGAAUCCUAGGCACUCCACCA
RNAcentral lists this transfer RNA (89 nucleotides) under Aeromonas phage vB_AsaP_MQM1. RNAcentral's name for it is "tRNA-Tyr". It matches the Rfam family "tRNA". Rfam says of the family: Transfer RNA (tRNA) molecules are approximately 80 nucleotides in length. Their secondary structure includes four short double-helical elements and three loops (D, anti-codon, and T loops). The record is from RNAcentral. Lineage: Duplodnaviria; Heunggongvirae; Uroviricota; Caudoviricetes.